This 488-nucleotide ribosomal RNA is filed under the name uncultured bacterium. RNAcentral describes it as "bacterial SSU rRNA". It matches the Rfam family "Bacterial small subunit ribosomal RNA", at positions 1 to 507 of the family's 1533-position model. The record is from RNAcentral.
AGUAGUUGAUCAUCGGCUCAGGACGAACGCUGGCGGCGUGCCUAACACAUGCAAGUCGAACGAGAUCCAUGGGAGCUUGCUCCCGGAAGAUCUAGUGGCGAACGGGUGAGUAACACGUGAGAAACCUGCCCUGGAGUGGGGAAUAACUCGGGGAAACUCGAGCUAAUACCGCAUACCCUCGGAUGGUCGCAUGGCCGACCGAGGAAAGAUUUAUCGCUCUAGGAGGGUCUCGCGGCCUAUCAGCUAGUUGGUGGGUAACGGCCUACCAAGGCAACGACGGGUAGCUGGUUUGAGAGAACGAUCAGCCACACUGGGACUGAGACACGGCCCAGACUCCUACGGGAGGCAGCAGUGGGGAAUCUUGCGCAAUGGGCGAAAGCCUGACGCAGCAACGCCGCGUGCGGGAUGACGGCCUUCGUGGUUGUAAACCGCUUUCAGCAGGGACGAAAAUGACGGUACCUGCAGAAGAAGCCCCGGCUAACUACGUG